GCUGCGCAGUGCACCAGCCUAGUCUGGGGGCGGCAGGAUCCGCUGUAGGAAAGUCCAGACUGGAUAGAGGACGUCCGGGGGUCACCCGUCGCACCUUGGGGACCCAUGUGGGGUCCAGAUGCCCGGUGAGCCCGUGGAUGUCACUUUUAUCCUGAUUUGGAGAACCUAUUGAGGAGAUUUUCUUGAGUUGCCUGUUGUGAAAUGAGGAGCCUAAUAGGAAAAGGUGGCAAACAAAUGACUCCAAGGUCACAAUUUGGGGAACAUUAUGGGAGAACUAAACAACCAGAAGUCACAUAUUUGGGUGAGUGAUCUUUUAUUUCCUUUUAAUACUCUAUGUCUAUCUCACAAAUUGUGUAGAAACCCUAGGGCAAGAGCUGUGAUUAAUUAUACCCAAACUUUUAACAUCUCACAUUAUCCAUUUAUGUGCUAAAUAUCAUACUUUUCUUGAAAUUUUGUAAGUGUGAGAUUAUUAUUUAGUGGGUUGGCCAGAA
This is a long non-coding RNA of Herpailurus yagouaroundi (jaguarundi), 491 nucleotides long. RefSeq lists it as uncharacterized. Lineage: Eukaryota; Metazoa; Chordata; Mammalia; Carnivora; Felidae. The record is from RefSeq and is a predicted model, not a curated record. The transcript is spliced from 3 exons.